UGGAUCGGUUCACUCUGAGCAGAGAGAUGGUGUAUAAUGUCUUCAGACAGUCUCUCUAUGACCAAGACCCUGAGCUCAACAACCCACUGUAUAUACACCCAGCUUCACUGGACAUGCAGGUUGGCUCAGUGACUAGUGAGAGCAGAAGUGGCGUGCUCUAUUGGUGACGACUACGCAAUACUCUGGGGAGUUUCCCAGCAAAGAGAUUUGAGCAGAACAAGGGACCUGUCUGAUUGAUGGAAUAUCUGACGGAUACGUAGACCCCAUGGACCAACCCAGACACACAAUGAAAUCCUGUGAAACUGGAUCACUACUGCUGUGCCAGUGGCGUGUACAACCUGACAGACUGUAUGACAAAUAGACACUGAUGACACUUUUCUGCUUAUUCCAAUCAUUCCAUCUAUCUCAAGUAGUCAAGAGAAUGGAAAGGCCUAAGUGUACUUUUGGAAUGAGGAUAAUGGGGUGUUGACAUUAAGUGUUUGUACGCGGUGAAUUGUUUUUUUGUGUCAGUGUCAAAGUGGAUUAACAAUGUCAUCUUUUUAUCCAAGAUGUUUUUAUCCAAGAUGUUUUUAUCCAAGAUGUCCUUAUCCAAGAUGUUUUUAUCCAAGAUGUUUUUAUCCAAGAUGUUUUUAUCCAAGAUGUUUUUAUCGGUUGUAAUAUGACUUCCUGAUACCUACUCUAUAGUCUAUAUAUCAUGUCUGAGAGGACUAACUAUUCCAAUUUGAGGCAUUGCUUCAAUCUCUAUAUUCUUUUACAUUUUACAUGAAUUGAUUGGAAACUGUAUUUUGUAAUUUUGUGAAAUAAAUGUUGUUGUUUUUUUAUUGUACUCUGCAAGGAGUUGUCCUAGUUAGCAACGGGGUUGUCCUAGUUAGCAACGGGGUUGUCCUAGUUAGCAACUACUGUCUCUAAUGUCCCUACUGUCUCUAAUGUCCCUACUGUCUCAAAUCAAAUCAAAUGUAUUUAUGUGGGGUGGCCAGUCCUCUUCUGGCUGUGCUGGGUGGAGAUUAUAACAGAACAUGGCCAAGAUGUUCAAAUGUUCAUAAAUGACCAGCAGGGUCAAAUAAUAAUCACAGGCAGAACAGUUGAAACUGGAGCAGCAGCACGGCCAGGUGGACUGGGGACAGCAAGGAGUCAUCAUGUCAGGUAGUCCUGAGGCAUGGUCCUAGGGCUCAGGUCAGUUGAAACUGGAGCAGCAGCACGGCCAGGUGGACUGGGGACAGCAAGGAGUCAUCAUGCCCGGUAGUCCUGAGUCAUGAUCCUAGGGCUCAGGUCCUCUGAGAGAGAGAAAGAAAGAGAGAAUUAGAGAGCAGACUUAAGUUCACACAGGACACCGGAUAAGACAGGAGAAGUACUCCAGAUAUAACAAACUGACCCUAGCCCCGACACAAUCUACUGCAGCAUAAAUACUGGAGGCUGAGACAGGAGGGGUCAGGAGACACUGUGGCCCCAUCCAAUGAUACUCCCGGACAGGGCC
Long non-coding RNA from Oncorhynchus masou masou (cherry salmon), 1474 nucleotides. RefSeq lists it as uncharacterized. The record is from RefSeq and is a predicted model, not a curated record. Lineage: Eukaryota; Metazoa; Chordata; Actinopteri; Salmoniformes; Salmonidae. The transcript has 3 exons.